GCUAAUUCCAAGGUGACAUGGGAAGAUUUCAGAGGGUAGGUGAGGGCUGGGGCACGCUCAGAGGUGGUGCUUGCCUAAUAUGCCCAAGCCUUGGAUUAGAUCCCUAACACCCCAAAAGAGGAGGAACUGAGCCUUGGGGGAUUUGGGUGAGCCUCCUGGGAGGUGGUUAUUAGCUGAGCUAAGGAGUCAGCUAGGAAUGGGGAAAAAAGAGGUCAGUACAGGCAAGGGCAGUGCAGGCAGUUCAGCUUGAGCAUAGCUUUCUAGAAACUACAAGUGGUUCAGCAUGGUAGUGUGAGGAGUCUGAGGGUGGGGUGACAAAGCAGCAGAUAUGGCUCAUGGACUUAGGCUUGGACUUUAUCUCCAUAAUGAGUGGGGGUGGGGGGCCGCUGCAAGUCCUCCGUGGGAGGGGGCAGAAUUUAUCUUCCCAAUUACCAGAGUACAGCCAAUAGUGUGCAUUCCUUUCCUCAGUGAACUGUCAGUGAAGAUCUGAGUAAUGUCUACACUGUGUUCUAUGUACACACCACGCUUCCUUUACCUACCCCAGCCUCAGAGCAUACAGCUCUCCAUCAUACACUCUUGCUCCAGACCCACCUAACUUUCCUGUUUUCAGACUCACCCGUCUUUUAUUACGCUUUUGUAUACCCCACACUCCUGGCAUCCCUACCAACCCUACUUUCAAGAAAUUAAUGGAUUUUUUUUUCUUUUCUUUUGAGAUGGUGUCUUGCUAUGUUGAUGAGGCUGGCCUUGAACUCAUGUGCUUAGGUGAUCCUCCAGUCUCAGCCUCCCAAGGACUACAAGGAGUACACUGGGAUAAAGAAAUAAACUCAAUGUUCCCCACCCUCUUCCUUGACAGCAGAACAUCAAUGCUGUUUUAUUCUUCUUUCUUUGAAACCAAUCAGGAAAAACAAACCUAUGCACAAAUAAUUCAGAUCGAAGGUUAACUCUGUUGGGUCUGAGCCAGGAGUUCUCCCUCAAUCAGUACUACCCCUCUAGGAAGCAUGUAUGGAGAGAAAGAGAGUAGUUUUUCAGUGUUACAAGGCCUGGGGUGACACUGAUGUUUAGAGAGAAGGGACCAUGGAUGCUAAAUGGCAAAAAAAUUGCAUAAGAACUCCCAAGUCAAAUAACCAAAGCAAUCAUGGUGCUCUCAUGCCCCUUGUCAAUCACCACUUUAGGGAUAUCUAGUGACACAUUUCUGGUCAAGAAGCUAUGAGUGACCUAUUAUGAAACCUCUGGGGUGCUUCCCCAAAAACAGUUUCUUCCCAAUCUUCCAUUUCCAUCACUGGCACCUCCAUUUUCUGUUACAAAGUCUUAAAAAUAAUUUGGACUUCUAACCCUUAAGGUUGGGGUGACUAUGAAUUUAUAUUUGCCCAUGAUAAUCUGAUUUUACUCCUAGUCUCCCGGUGUAAUUGUUAAUAGUGCCCACUUUCACUUCCAAAAGUCUUCUAAAUUGCAGGGCAGAUUAUAUGGUGGACUUAUUUAUUCCCACUGAGUCCUGGUCAUGCUUGCAAAAAGUACCUCUAACACAGGAGUCAGCAAACUGACCUGCAGGUUGUUUUUGUACCUACUGAGAGCCUUAAAAAAUGGCUUUGACGUUUUUUGGGAGAUUGGGGGGGAAUCAAAAGAAUACUAUUUCAUGACCACUGAAAUUAAAUUUCAGUGCCUGUAAAUAGUCUCAUUGGAACACUGCCACACACAUUGUCCUCUACGACUUCCUCAUUACAGGGCAGAGUUGUGUAGCUAAGACAAGAGACCGCCCACAGAUCCUAAAUCAUCUGGCCCUUUUCUGACAAUGUUUGCCAUGCCCUGCACUAAUGCACUAGUUUCAAGUCUCCUUACUGCAUGCAAGCUUACAAAAGUCUACUGUUUGCUUCUUCUCCCUUCUCAUAUUCCUGAUUGCUAGAUGAUCUCUAGAGGAAGAGAACUGAUCUUGCCCCAUCCGUACUCACUGCCAGUGUUUCCUCCAAAGCCCGACAGUACUGUCCUACUCCUUGAUCCUAAAGACUACAACCUAGAUUUCCAGACUUUGCUCCUCUUCCUUUAAAGCCAAAUGGACUACUUUGUUUCCCUACCGGGCUUAUACCAUAAGCAGUCACUGCCCGUCUAUGCCUCUCCUCCAGUCCAUCGGUUCCUCAAAAUUACACGAAAACAGUCACUCCUUCAUUCAUCAAACACGGGGGGGGGGGAGGCUCAGAGACACAAGGACAGACUAGGGCAGGGCACAGCCUGUCAAAGGAGCCCAGUGCACGAAGCAGGCGUGCCCAGAACGAGGCUCCGGAGGUGACAUUUACACUGGGAUUUUAAAGAUGGAGAAGCAGGCCAAAGGACGUCGUCCCAGCUGCACUAAAUAGGAAUAAGGCUGAAUAGGCGAAGAGGACGCCACCUCAUCUCCCCACUUCCCCACGCCGCGGAGACCGGGGUACGAGCAAUGAGGAGACCUCUGGUCUGAGCUCCUUUAAGGGAAUUCUGCAUGAGCAGCCAAAAACCGCCGGGAGCGGCGCGGGGAUGCCAAGGAACCCCAUCCUCUCCGGGGCCGAGGACUCCAGCUCGUCGCCAAAACUUCUGGGCGCUGCCAGGUCUGCACGCCCACGCCGCCGGCGCCCGGGGAGAGACUCGUCGCCGCGCCUCACAGCGAACACCACGCGGCGGCCUGGCCCCGGCGUCCCGUCCGGGA
RNAcentral lists this long non-coding RNA (2671 nucleotides) under Marmota monax (woodchuck). The record is from RNAcentral. Lineage: Eukaryota; Metazoa; Chordata; Mammalia; Rodentia; Sciuridae.